UGAACGCUGGCGGCGUGCCUAACACAUGCAAGUCGAGCGGUAACAGGUGUAGCAAUACAUGCUGACGAGCGGCGGACGGGUGAGUAACGCUUGGGAAUCUGCCUAUUAGUGGGGGACAACCCGGGGAAACGUCGGGCUAAUACCGCAUACGCUCUACGGAGGAAAGCCGGGGACCGGCAAGGCCUGGCGCUAAUAGAUGAGCCCAAGUCGGAUUAGCUAGUUGGUAGGGUAAUGGCCUACCAAGGCGACGAUCCGUAACUGGUCUGAGAGGACGACCAGUCACACCGGAACUGAGACACGGUCCGGACUCCUACGGGAGGCAGCAGUGGGGAAUAUUGGACAAUGGGCGAAAGCCUGAUCCAGCGACGCCGCGUGGGUGAAGAAGGCCUGCGGGUUGUAAAGCCCUUUCAGUGGGGAAGAAAGCCUCGACCUAACACGUCGGGGUCUUGACGUAACCCAUAGAAGAAGCACCGGCUAACUCUGUGCCAGCAGCCGC
This 496-nucleotide ribosomal RNA is filed under the name uncultured bacterium. RNAcentral describes it as "bacterial SSU rRNA". It matches the Rfam family "Bacterial small subunit ribosomal RNA", at positions 30 to 518 of the family's 1533-position model. The record is from RNAcentral.